CCUACGGGAGGCAGCAGUGAGGAAUAUUGGUCAAUGGGCGCGAGCCUGAACCAGCCAAGUAGCGUGAAGGAUGACUGCCCUACGGGUUGUAAACUUCUUUUAUAAAGGAAUAAAGUGAGGCGCGUGUGCCUUUUUGUAUGUACUUUAUGAAUAAGGAUCGGCUAACUCCGUGCCAGCAGCCGCGGUAAUACGGAGGAGCCGAGCGUUAUCCGGAUUUAUUGGGUUUAAAGGGAGCGUAGAUGGGUUGUUAAGUCAGUUGUGAAAGUUUGGGGCUCAACCGUAAAAUUGCAAUUGAUACUGGCAGCCUUGAGUACAGUUGAGGUAGGCGGAAUUCGUGGUGUAGCGGUGAAAUGCUUAGAGAUAACGAAGAACUCCGAUUGCGAAGGCAGCUUACUAAACAGCAACUGACAUUGAUGCUCGAAAGUGUGGGUAUCAAACAGGAUUAGAUACCCUUGUAGUC
This 460-nucleotide ribosomal RNA is filed under the name uncultured bacterium. Its description in RNAcentral is "partial 16S ribosomal RNA". It matches the Rfam family "Bacterial small subunit ribosomal RNA", at positions 338 to 795 of the family's 1533-position model. The record is from RNAcentral.